UGGGGAAUUUUGGACAAUGGGCGAAAGCCUGAUCCAGCAAUGCCGCGUGUGUGAAGAAGGCCUUCGGGUUGUAAAGCACUUUUGUCCGGAAAGAAAUCCUUGGCUCUAAUACAGUCGGGGGAUGACGGUACCGGAAGAAUAAGCACCGGCUAACUACGUGCCAGCAGCCGCGGUAAUACGUAGGGUGCAAGCGUUAAUCGGAAUUACUGGGGCGUAAAGCGUGCGCAGGCGGUUUGCUAAGACCGAUGUGAAAUCCCCGGGCUCAACCUGGGAACUGCAUUGGUGACUGGCAGGCUAGAGUAUGGCAGAGGGGGGUAGAAUUCCACGUGUAGCAGUGAAAUGCGUAGAGAUGUGGAGGAAUACCGAUGGCGAAGGCAGCCCCCUGGGCCAAUACUGACGCUCAUGCACGAAAGCGUGGGGAGCAAACAGGAUUAGAUACCCUGGUAGUCCACGCCCUAAACGAUGUCAACUAGUUGUUGGGGAUUCAUUUCCUUAGUAACGUAGCUAACGCGUGAAGUUGACCGCCUGGGGAGUACGGUCGCAAGAUUAAAACUCAAAGGAAUUGACGGGGUCAUAGCUGUUUCCU
RNAcentral lists this ribosomal RNA (586 nucleotides) under uncultured bacterium. Its description in RNAcentral is "partial 16S ribosomal RNA". It matches the Rfam family "Bacterial small subunit ribosomal RNA", at positions 355 to 1375 of the family's 1533-position model. The record is from RNAcentral.